This 76-nucleotide transfer RNA is filed under the name Planobispora longispora. RNAcentral's name for it is "tRNA-Arg". It matches the Rfam family "tRNA". From Rfam's summary of the family: Transfer RNA (tRNA) molecules are approximately 80 nucleotides in length. The record is from RNAcentral. Lineage: Bacteria; Bacillati; Actinomycetota; Actinomycetes; Streptosporangiales; Streptosporangiaceae. RNAcentral also lists the same sequence under 2 other names.
GCGCCCUUAGCUCAGCUGGAUAGAGCACCGGACUUCUAAUCCGACGGUCGCAGGUUCGAAUCCUGCAGGGCGCGCC